Molecule: non-coding RNA, 1635 nt
Organism: Microcebus murinus (gray mouse lemur)
Lineage: Eukaryota; Metazoa; Chordata; Mammalia; Primates; Cheirogaleidae
Source: RefSeq, a predicted model, not a curated record
CCCUUAGUCAAGGUCGCGCUCCUGUGAGUUUUGACUUGUGCUGAGUUCGGAGCAGGACAAGGGCGGGAACUGUGCUUAAAUGCCAGCUGCCAGGAAGGUCUUUUCCACUCUGCAGAGAUCAGCCGUGAGCCAGACCAUCUCCGGGAGUCAGCUGUAAGCCGAGGUGAGCCUUCCGUGUCUUACAUGGAAACUGAAAUUGAUCAUCUAAUGCAGCCCAGAAUUCCUCCAAAACAUUUGUAUUGUUUCGAGAAAGGAAGGGAACAUGUAAGCCCAGUUGAACAUCCUGGGGUUUCUAAUCCAAAUGAACAAGGCAGGAGAAAAAUUCAUGCCUGAGAUGAAGUCAAAGAGAGAUCCCAGUAGGCAACAGAAGGUAGGGCUGUGAGUCCAACAGACAUUUAAUGAGCACAGUUCAGUGAGGGCGAUGGCACGCUGUACCCACGGGAAUCCUAAAACUUCCCAUUGUUUGAUUAGGCGAGAGAGGUUGGUGAACUCCUGAGACAUAAUUCAAAAUCAUUUCCCCUGUACUUACUAAGGGAUUUGGCAUACGAGGUUCACUGUAUUCCCCAAUCCCCUGCCCCCAGGACAGCCCAUCGUGGAUAUCAGAAAUCCCACUGUGAGAGUCUUUCCCUUGGAAUAAACAUUGUUAACAACCGUGGGCAGAGAACACAUUUCUUCCAAAUCCCCCAAAGAAUAACAGUUACAUUUUAUUUCCAGCCUGUUCUGCUGCUUCUCCUGGACAGUAUGGGGUAUAGAGUUUCAGAAUAAGUCAGUUACAAGCUUUGUGCAGAUGACAUUUCUUAAGGUCAACCCCUACCUGUGGCCAUUCUGGGUCAAAGAGGGCGUGCACCUUCAAUGCCUGCCAGACGGUAUCAAGUUGCCAUUGCAGAGUCAACCUUAGAAUUGCACAUCACACCUGAAAACCAAGACUAACUUCAGGAGCCCUGGGUGCUCACCCUUCCAGGAGGAACGAGGCGUUCCUUGCCGAUGAGGAGAGCGCCUAGGAGCAUCACAGCUGGAGGUAGCUGGAGCUGUUCCGAAUGGUUUUUGAUAAAUUCUUCACCUUGUGGGUGAUUUGGAUUGGGAUACCUCCAGGAAAACAGGCAGCCAAACAUGUUUUUGACCUGUGUGUGCCUAAUUGACCCUCUCGUCGGUCUCUCCCCUGCACCCCACCCAGCCCCCACCCAAGGGAAGACUAUAGCAGAGACUCCCAGAACGUCAGCACCAGGAGUAACCAACCUGAGUGGAAGCUGAGGCAGAGACAAGGCCUGCCCAAGGUCAUGGUCAUGGUGGCAGAUGAGGGGGAGAUGGGGUGAAAACCGACGGGCCAGUGAUCAUUCCAAAAGAGGGCAACUUGCCUAUGGAAGGAAAGCAUGACUGCCUGCUUGUGGGAUGGCAGGAAGACACCCAAGAGGGGUGGACAAGAGGGAUCCGCAGCAGGUCUCCUUCGAGAGGCUGCCGUUUCCUGUGAAGGAACAAUUCCCUGACAUGUUUUUCCCUGUGCAUUGGACCAGAGCAACAUGAAACGUGGAGGGUGAAACAAGACCUCAUUCUUUUCUCUGAUUCCAACUUCUGCAGGUAAACACUUCUUAGGAGAAGGAGAUGAUUGGUUGGCUUUUUUAUUUUUUUUAUUUUUUG